GUCUCGAUACAGUCGAUCAAAAAGGCUCCAACAAUACAAAGAGGCGUCGUGUUCAAAGGGACGAUUGAGAAGGAACGGGAACGAAAGCAAUGGACGAGUGAUAGGGGAAAACACGAAGGCUCGCAGGCACGACUUCGUUGCUCGACCGCGAGAAGGUUUAUCUCCGGGGUUCGACUAGACUGAAGAACGAAGGGAGAAGCAGCGGAUGCGCUCUCUUCGGUCGUCUGCUAGGUGCGAAGGAGACGAAUGGAUUGGCGACGUGUGCGAUUGUCUCUGGGGUUUGACAAAGCCGAAGUGACGGAGAAGCAGCGAAGCUGCUGCGGUCUCGGUGGGGGCAGCGAUGGGGCGAUCGGCGGUUGAGAAACGAGGUCGAUUGAAGGCAGUGGCAAGUUGGAUCGGUGAAUAGUGGUGGGGAGGUACAACUGAUCUCCAGGGAGUCCUCGUGAUUUCCAUUCUCGUCUUCAGCAGUAGAACACAAAGAAGGAGCAGGGCAUUUAGGUGAUGAUUCUUCAACAUGAAAUGAACGGGUUCAACAGAAUUCAAAGGAGGAACAAGAUGGAUGUUUGGCUUUGAUUUUCACAGGAUUCGAUAGGGCUGUUGCUGUUUUACAAGGGAAACAGGAAAACAGAUGAGGGAAAGGGGUCUUUUUGGCUGAUGAGGUUCAACAGGAAAAGGGAAAGGAUGGGACUGUCUUGGCCAGCGACUGUCACCAGUCCUCUUCCUUAUGUGGCCGACGAUCAAGAGGAACGGGAAGGAGUUCUCAAGGGUGAGCAACGAGAAAAGGUGGUACAAAAUCGGAUUCAUAAAGAUAUCUGUUGUAAACUCAAAUGCAUUGUAUUUUUAAUUAUUUAUUUUGUGAUGAAAUCUCCGAUUCUCGAUUUAGGUGCCAUCAAAUCGUUUCUUGAAAUUUUUCUGAAAAUGUCUGUCGAUUGUUUUGGUCGUUGUGAUUCUAAAAAUGCAGACAUAUUUCAAUUACGAUA
Molecule: long non-coding RNA, 980 nt
Organism: Lactuca sativa (garden lettuce)
Lineage: Eukaryota; Viridiplantae; Streptophyta; Magnoliopsida; Asterales; Asteraceae
Source: RefSeq, a predicted model, not a curated record